UCUGGUGGCGAAGGCAUGAUGGACACACCUGUAACCAUGCCGAACACAGAAGUUAAGCAUCAUAGCGGCGAAGAUAGUGGGCAACUGCGACAAUAGCACGCUGCCAGUC
RNAcentral lists this ribosomal RNA (109 nucleotides) under Massiliimicrobium timonense. The record is from RNAcentral. RNAcentral also lists the same sequence under 1 other name. Lineage: Bacteria; Bacillati; Bacillota; Erysipelotrichia; Erysipelotrichales; Erysipelotrichaceae.